GCGGGCGUGGUCUAGAUGGUUAUGACGUGUGCCUAACACGCACAAGAUCGCGCGUUCGAGUCGCGCCGCCCGUA
RNAcentral lists this transfer RNA (74 nucleotides) under Cyanidioschyzon merolae strain 10D. Its description in RNAcentral is "tRNA-Val". The record is from RNAcentral. RNAcentral also lists the same sequence under 1 other name. Lineage: Eukaryota; Rhodophyta; Bangiophyceae; Cyanidiales; Cyanidiaceae.